UAUUAAAUGGCAAGUGUUGCAUGAUUAUAUCAGCACUUCUUGUAUUUUCUCUCCAGCACCCCAGUAUACAGAAUUAAUUCAAUAUUUCCCUUGGGUUGGAGGCAGAAAAUAGCAUGAAAAAAUGCAAAAUAACAUGCCACCGAUUUUGGAAAGGAAUUUAUUUAUGAUGUUUUCCUUAGGACUGAAAUCUCCUGAAGAGCCAAAGGGCACGGUUAGUUUAACAGGGUUUGUAUGAGACAAUGGCUCCAGCCUGCAUCCUUUGGGCAAGUCCACAGGACAUGGCAACCAGCUGGGAUGAUCAAGCUAAAAUGUGCAUAGACAUUGCCCCUGAAAAGUAGCUGUGGUCAGAAAAGCCCACUUUCUCGGGCACACAGGGUUGGCUGGGAAUCAUUUACUGCUGGCAGAGAAGUGUAGCCUCAUCACGGACCUGACCUGAGAUUUACCUCCCCUCUCCUUCACCGAGCCCAUGGCAGGAGCCAAAGCAGACACACAGAGAACAUGGUGGGAGCUGGAGAUUUGGAAAUGUGUAAGGAAUAGCAGGGGAAAAUGUAUUCUGAAGGAGACAUGAGGCUGCUCAGGAAGGGAGAGAGGAAGGCAAUGGCUCACCAGGCUGAGCCUUCCGUGCUGCAGAAGAGGAGCAGAGGAGGCUGCGUGUGUGCUCUUCCAGGAGGUAUGCCAAGCAUAUGACUGCUGCUGAUGGGGAAAGAGUUUCAGCGAACAAGCACAUUCUUUGUAAUGCAAAGGAGAUGUUUCAUUACAAACCGGUUGAGGAGUGUUACUCCGGCUCUGCGGGUGCGUGAAACGGAGAGGCGGCAUCCUGACCCAGAUGGCGUGACCCAGCUGUCGAGGCACCACGGCUGCACGGGCCAGGAAGCUGGUUUUCUGUGCAAAAUAUUGCACAGACACGGUGUCUAAGCUUUUAUAUUUAAAACCCUGAAUAUAAGCGUGUGGCCACUCCCAGAAGGAAUGUAUCAUACAGUUUCCCAGUGUGCAAGAAUAGCUACAACCUCAGCGUUUAAAAGAAAAUCUAAAACACAUUUUAGGCAAAAAAGUAGCAAAAUCACUCACUUCAGUACAUGGCUAAGACAAAAACACAGACUGGCGGUGUCUUUUUGGCUUAUAAUACCACCUACAUGGCCACAGUGCAAAACUUGCCCUGUUGAAACAGGGCAAUGCAGGGUUGGAAAUGUUGUUGAAAAAUCUUUAAGUCCCCUGAGGGGACUUUUGUUUUUAACCAGUUUAAAAUAUUUCUAUCCAGCAUUUCCAUUCAGUUCUGCAGUUCCCCCUCUAAUGAUUGAAAUCAAUGCGCGGGGCCCAACUUUUUUGCUGCUCUCCUACCAUAUGAAAAUGAUGCUGGUGUGUGCUUUGUGCUGGCUUUCCCCAUCACCCAGUGGGUGAAUUUUGUAGCCUGCCUUGUUAGUGGCACAGCAGGCCGCCAAAAGGAAACCGAGUUGUUUGUACGAGAUGAGAUGUUGGGCUGCCAACUGUUAUAAAUCUUGUGCUACUUACAGCUUCAGCUUUUCUUCAAGUCUACUCCACCCCCUGCUGUGGUUUCGACUGUUGGAGCAACAUUAGGAGGCACAACUGAAAGCAGUAAUAUUGGCAUUUGUGGGGAAAAUAAGAGAAAAAGCGAGGCACAAAUGUUUCAUUGCGAGAACUAUAUGCAUAAGACCUGUAGCCGCAGACAUUCAGGCUCUGUGACAGCGGAAAGGGGAUUUGCCCCCUGCAAUAUUUACCUGUAGCUGUAUUCAUUGGCACCAGCUUGUUUUGUAAGUGUAACUGCUUGUAACCUUGCACGUGCUUCCCCACUGUCAUAUCAUAUUAAAUGAGCUAUAAUUGUAGUCUAUUAGAGUGCAAUAACCUAAAAGUGAUAGUGCAUGACAGCACCUGUCAACACGUCAUGGAGGAUUGUACAGAAUGCUGAAUUAUACCCAUUUUAUACCACAUUAAUGAGGCAGCUCAUUCUUAUCCAGUCAUAAAUAAACAGGUUUCAAUUUCUUUAUACACCAUGAGAAGCUGGUUAGUUUUAUUUUUUUUCCCUUUGCACAGAGAACCAAAGAAGUCACGAUAGGGUGAUCUAUUGCCUUAAAAGGAAGAUCGGAGUGUGGUCAUUAAUGACAAUGAGGAUAUUAUUUUUCUCAUUAUUAAUUGUUUUAUGAAUCCAUCUUGGUGUGACUGCUUCUUCCCAUUUUUCCUGGAAAAAAAUAUAGAAACACAUAACAAAAAGCAAGGCUUGUCUCUAAUAAACUUUUAAUAUAAAACAAAAUUGAUUCAGCAGCACCCAAAGGACAGAGUGAUACAGGCAGAAACCCGAUCCUCUUAAGAUCAAUGGCUGUUCUGGGGUCUGGUUCUACCUCAUAAACUCUUUAAGUCAGGUUUGAACUGGGAAUGGGAAGAGAAAAAAGGAAAAUGACAGUAGGGAGAAGAAAGACAGAGAAUGAGAGGCUUUCAGACAAAUCAAAAGAAAAGCAAAUGUAUCAAAGCACAUGUAUAGUGCCCAUUAUUUUCUGUAACCUAACUAGAUCACGGUGUCUUCAUUUCGGAGAGCUGCUUGGGCUUCAGAGCCAUAAAUAACUGCCUGUGGUCUUCUGCUGAGCCCACGUGAGGAGAGGUUGGUACAGUCAGUCCCUGUGAGCAAAGCUCUCACCCCCUGACCCAGACAGAGGCCCUGGGCACCCAAUAUACCAGGAAGAAGAGCAGGCUUGAAAGCACAGCCCACAGGAGGCACGCCAGCUUUUCCUUAGGAAGUGAGAAAGAGAGAUCCAGCCUUGGGAGCUGACACCUGGGCAGUCAGCGUGACCAGACAAUGAUCUCACCCACCCUCAGCUCCACACAGGACUCCCAAAACACCCUCUGUACCUUGGGUAACCCCCAGCUUGCCACAGGAAUGAUGACUUUGGAGCUACAGGGAAAAUCUGUGAUGCUUAUCUGAAUACUCUGACACCACAGGCUAUUUUAUUCUUUUUUUUUCCUCAGGACUGGUGAUGGGUAAUUUUGCCAGUAGUGAGUGUUAUGGAAUGCUUAAGUAAAAAUUUCUUAAUUUGUCAAUAUUUAUUUACUUUUUUAUUUAUUACUUAAAAAUAAAAACCUAAAUUAUUUCUUCACUUGAAUAUUUUCUCUCUAAUCUUAGCUUCAUAACAGGGAAACAGAUUUAGAAUUAUGUUGUUCAAAUCCAACAAAAGUAAGUUUAAAAUCCUCAUUUGAAAAUCAAGCCACCAUUUCCUUCAGAACUUGUUUACAACCUAUCUUCCAACAAAUGCACUGUCCUAUGAAAGAAGUGCUGAAUGACAGAGGAAGAAAUGUUUUUAGGCACUAGGCAAAUUAAAUCAGGUCAAAAUUGUUUCUGAAAUUGGCUUGAUUUGGAUAAUAAUUUUGACUGAAAAGGACUGUGAUUUCAAAAAAAGAAAAAUUAUUUUCAUAUUUUCACAAUAUUUUUCAUCACAUAUUUUCAAAAAAUAAUUUUUUGUUAAAAAGUUGAUUUCUAAACUUCUCUAAAUUUAAGAUGCACUUAAUGAGCAUUUCAGUCCCUCCAAAUAAAUUAACUUUGACUUCAACCCCCAAAUAAUUUUCCCUAACCUUUUUUUUUUAAUUUUUCCGAGAAAGCCAAUAAAAUUUUAUGCUUCAGGUCAGUCCAAAAUGAAUGGGUUUUUUCUUCAGUUUGACCAGUGAACUGAAAAAUCAAUUAUUCACACAACUCCUCUUUAAAAUGGCUUGGAACCGUCUAAUUGUGCAUGUAGGCAGCUACUUACUGUGUGAUCUUAUUACUGCUCUCCUAAUUCUUGCUCUUUUCCCGCCUAGCUUUGCUGUGUUUUGUUCUGUGCCAGACCAUAGACUGUUGCAGUCAGGCAUUUUGCCUUCCUGACAUCUGGGAUCUGUGUGCAGGGCAAUUAUUCCUGUGCCAGUGGUACACAAGCAGCACAGGGCUACGUCCUUCACGUGUCCAUCAUUUCUCACUAGCAUCUGGAUGCCUUCCUUGUCGUUGCAAGUGACAUCCCCAGCACACAGGAUUCAUGGCCUUCUAUUUCCUCCUGAAAUUAAUAAUUCUGUUCUACAAAUUAAGCAUUUAACCUUUCCUAUCUUGCCUGUCCACUGCCAUUUGAACUGGAAGUGAACUCAAGGAAGGGAACACAACAGAAGCCUUUCAAAUGUCCAUAGCAGAGGGAGAGUUAAACGUUUGAUUUCCAAACUGGAAAGCAGGUGAGAAGCAGCAUAUGAGGGAGAAGAUUGAAGAGUUUGGUUUCUACCUGUUCAACAACAUCAGCAAAGCAAGAAUAGAUUAAUGAAUGAGUGGUUCUUGCUGUAGAUGUAACUACCAGAUCAUUCAAAUAUCUUUAUCUUUCACCGUCUUUCCUAGUUUUUUUGUUGUUUGCUUUAUUAGUUUAUUUUUUAUUUUCUUUCCUUUUAAAAGAAACAUGUAGUAGUGCUUUCUGGUCUCUGUUUAGUCUGAGUUUAUUUCAGUGGACUUACACCUCGUUUACAGUGUGGCAGCAAAGGUUUCUUUGCAACCUAAGAACAAAAUUUUAACUGAGAUGCAUUGUAAAAAUGCUUGAUUCCUCCUCAAAACAAAAUGGAUAUUUCACCUUGACCCAGACAAAUGGCAGAUGCUGUCAAACACUUACUGUAGCAAGCAGAUACAGAGGAGAAAGUAAGGUUUGCCCAUACACUGGCCUGAGAUGACCAUCAGUAAUUCAUAAAUUGUUGUUUUGAUUUUGUUUUUUCUUUAAUAAUUUUUAGUGUCCUUAUAAAACACCAGUACAUCUCUCUUCACCCCAAACUAAAAAUGCAGUUGUAAAAAUCUCCCUUCAAACAUGACGCACAGUCUGGGAAACAUGUUCAUCUCUGAAAGGGGACUCACUGGAAGCUCAUAAAACAAGAACCUUUCUAUUUUUAAAGUGUUUCCCAUACAUCCUCUGGACAUGUAAGUCAUAGCUCUCUGCCUCUGUGAACCACUGAAGCCAAGAAAGAAUCUCUGCAUUAGGCUGCUGUGUGUUUCAGUGCACUGAAAAAACACUGGUGGGGAUGACAGUGAGUGAUCAGCAGGAAGCUUUCACAGAAAUCCUGAUGCUAGCCUGUUUUCCAGCAGCAGAGAGCUACUAUUUAGAUCUUUGGGACUCUAGCUGAGAAGGCAAAAGAUGUCAAAAAUGGCCAAACAAAAACCAACCAAAGUCUAGACUCCCCAAGAAUUUAGUUCAAAAGAAGACUUUACAUCUUGGUGUUGCUCAUGGCCUCCUGAACAGUCUGGCACAGAGCAGAGAAGGAAUGAGCACAUGACACCAGGACCCCAAGGGACAGCUCUGGGAGCAGCAACUUACAUCGCUCACAGAAAACCACACACCAUUUCACAUGUAGGGAACACACCAUGGAAUAAAUUGUACCUACUUAAUUAACUGCGCUUUGCAGUUCUAUAUUAUUAGCUGCUGAGGGCAACUGGUGCCUUGGCACUGCAGUCAGCGAGGAUUGCAUACACAGCCUGAACCUGCUAAUUGAGCACGAGCAAGUGCACGCAGCUCGGCUGGCUGAUGGCCCAGGCUCCACCGCACGGCGAGCAAAGCAUCUCGGGGCCUGCUGCCAGACACCCAGCACAAUUACGUGUGUUAAAGCAGCAGCACCUCUGUAACCUACACACCAGGAACAACUUGCCAAGCACUUGGUCACUACACGAUAGCAAAUUCGACAUCUGAUUUGCAGGCGCUGCACUGGGUACAGAAGAAAGCUUCCUUCUCCUCGGCUGCAUUUCUAAAUGAAUCUUUAUCUGACAACCAAGUACCACCCACAUUUGCCAGCUGACACCCUGCGUCAGGCUCUGCUCCCAGUUUUGUAAAUUCCAUGAAGACCCCAGGGACAGUCAAAGUGCAAGAGCAAACAGAUCUGGGGGCCUUGUUUUGGAGUUUGGUGGUGGUUUUUGCUACUCUUCCAUGCCAGUGGAAUUUUAAAAGAUGAGUACAAAUGAUACAGACUUGUGUAAUGCUUGAAAUCAAAUUCUUCAACAUCUGAGCUCUCUACAAAAGAAGUUUGCAGUUUAAUUAGAAUGGCUUACAUCCAGCAACUGUAUUCCGAUUAAACAAAAAUUAGAUCAUAGGGAUAUUUUCUUUCCUGAAAGUAUCUCAAACAGGGAGAGGGGAGAAUGUAUUUACAUUCACACACUGUGAGUUUGUUUUAGAAACAUACUGCCAGGGCAGACACUUGUGGCUGGAGGCCAAGGGGAGACCCUGCAGGCUAAGUUAGACGGUGUCCUUGUUGUCCAGUGUGCUAGUGGGAAAAGGAGAGACUGAUAUUAGGCCUCUGCCCAGAAUCCUUUUUUCCAUUGUGUCCCAACAGGUGUGAAGUCUGAUUGUCAUCAUAGAUGAUCUCCUAUCUUUUGAACUCCUCUUCUUGUUGAAGGUAUCAUGGGUAAAUCAUGUUAGCUUUGAUCUGAGCCUUUCCCAACACCCCAUAAAACACAGCUUUGCAUAUCAGGGCAUGAACAACAGCAAUAAAAGUGGUGCACUUAAGUGUAGGAUUUUAUGGAUCCAUCUGCCAAGCAUUUCUUCACAAGAGAAGAAAAACACAUUAUGAGUCUAAGCAGAUGCCAGGUCUCACCAAACUGUUCAUUGACAGCAAAACAUCAAGCCAUACCUAAAAUUGCCUGACCCGGUUGCUACAUGUUGAAGAUGAAUCUGAAGAUAUCACUGAUGCACUGACUCUGAGGGAGCACUUCAGGGAAUGGAGAUGGGAGGAGAUGAUGCUGAGGACAUUCAAGUCCUUUCUCUGUUUAUCCUUGACCAAACAUGGUCCUCACCAGCAGAAGUAUCUGAGUUUCUCUGAGGAUGCAGAAGAGGGAAAGAUGUACACAAUAUUUAUAAUCAUUUGAGGAGAUGUCACAUUCAUCCUAAUCACAGUCCUGAUCUCUGAGCAUGGCAGAGCAGAAGAAUAGGCAUUCCUUCUGCAUAAAACUGGUAAAUAGUGUGCAGGAAAAAUAAGGGCACUGUUCAAUGAUAUGGAUAAGUAAAUAUGACCCCACAUUAAUAGAAUUACAGUUAUUUUAGCUGGAAGGGACAUUUGAAGGUCAUCUGCUCUGAUUACCUUCUCAAGACUGGUCUUGCUUUGAUGUUAGUAAAUCAGACCUACCGUAGUGAGGGGGUUCAACUGGUCAUAAAGGACAACAUGGAUUUUAGAGCCCUGGCAGCAUCUUCUGACACCCUGAGUCCCCCUGAACACCCAGAAGUUGUCUGAGUCCCUGUGAGGAGCCAGGGAGGGACAAAGGGCUCAUGCAGUGUUUGAGCUGCUGCAUAGCACCUACUGAGCCUCCCCACUGGGAUAAAACUCUUAAGAACUGGGUCUACCUCAGUUUUCCCAGCAAGUGAGGCAAUCCAAGCCAUACCCAAUGCUUACAUCACCAUGGUGUUCAGAGCAUGCCUAAGAGGAAAUUUCUGUGAGAUGGCAAAUUCCCUUCUGCCUCUUCACAUAGUCUGUGUUUGCUGUCACAGAAGACAUACUGUACAUAGGUACUCUGGGGUCAAGAUACAUGUGAAAUAUCUCCAGAUGAGUGUCCUUCCCAUUGUCUCCCAUUCAUUCUUUUCCUCUCUUCUGUCUUCCCCCAUCAGCUUUUGCUCAUGUAUAGACUCCCAGUAUUGCUUGGGAGAGGUGACCAUCCGACUUCUACCUUCCCAGGCCUCCAAACACCUUCCCAGCUGCAAACACAAGGGAAGAGCAUGGGCAAGCACCUGUCAGAAAGGGCCAUGCCCUUAGAGAGAGACAUUUUAUUUGCACAGACUAAAGCCCCCCCUGCACACCUAGGUGCUAGAAAAACCUGACCACCCAAAUGUUUGUGCAAAGGGAAUAAAAGGAGCAGGAACGUGAUCAGAUGGAAUCACUAGCUAGCUUUAGCAAACAUGGGCUCUAAUUAAUUUUUUCCUCCCAUUGUUUACCCAGCUUUGUAUGUAACUGAAAGCUGAACUGGGCUUAUCAGUAAUUACCAACAGUUCUGGAAACUUUACACAUUAUUGUGCUGCGUUACUACACAGGGUAGUGAUCCAUGAAGAUGGGUGUCUCUGCAUUCAUUGCUAAGCAAUGCCUUAAAAAAAUCAAAAUCUCCCCCAACCUUGUAUUAUGGUUGCUGCAACGAAGUGGGGAAAAAGGAGGGAAGGCAGAGGGUGGCAGCGCGUCUGCUUCAGAUCUAAUUAUGAAAAUUUCCGGGACACAGUGGCAUGCUACCUCAGCAGCAGUGUCAGAGGAUGCUCCACCUGUUGCCAGACUUCUUUCCCAGCCCUGGAAUUGCAUUUUCCCAUUCCAUAGUGACACCUGCUGGGAGCAACUGAGCGGAGACUCCCCUGCUGCUCUGCUUGGCAAGGGGCUGAGCAGUGCAAAAUGAAGGGUCUACGGCAAUCAGGCAGAUUGAUUCCCCUCCUUUCCCUACAGAUUGAGCCAGGCUCUUAUCAGAGGGAAAACGGAUGUCUGCAGCAUGAUUAAUGCUCAGAAACACCCCACAUGAGCAGCCCCUGAGACAAGACACUGGAGCAUCAUCUGUCGGCCUGCAAGAGAAAGGAGUGAAGAACAUCAGAGGGCUGUUUGCAUGCAGAGGACCAAAUUUAGCCCAUGUAGCAAAGAGGUGAAAGCAGAGUUGAGUUUUUCUUCUUUGCAGGAGCUGAAAGGUCAUAUGAAAGGAAAGGUCAUGCUCCACUUGCUCUUUGCUGACAGUCUUUCUGUAAAUAUUGGGCAAUGUAGGAAGAAAAGAUCUUGGGCCAAGUACCUUUGGUCUGAUUCGAUAUGGUCAUUGUGAUGGCAGCCCAAACUGUGGCUUCUCUCUGCUUUCUAUUCUUCUUUCCUCCUGAGGAUUUCACUGUUCCUGCCCAGCAUUUAGAUUCCGUCAUGCCUGGCAUGUGGGCUGCAAUGCAUGCAUGCAAUAACCAGGGAAAUGGAAAAAUCUUGCCCUAACCCUGCACUUUCCUUUCCCCCUCUCGAAGCUGAAGGGAAAAGACAAAUCAGGAGGAAAAGUGCCAAAAUGUUUUAGAAAUAAACGACAGACACCAGAGUCAUCACACAUUUUCCUAGGAAGGAUAGUAAUUUCUGUAAUGUAUUUUUAACCAUGAGGAGUGAUGGGAGGGAAGCCACUUAAAUCUAAUGCAAAUGAAGGAUUUGUCAGUUACGCAGUUCGUAUAAUGUCAUACGUAGAAAAUGUUAUAAAAGUGGAGGGAUUAUGGCGAGGAGAGACAUUUCUAAAAUUGGAGGCCUUCUUUUAGGGCUUUAGCCCCCUCACUCUUUCAGAUCACUGGGAACGUUUUCCUCCAAGGAAGGGCAGGAGUCUCUCUCAAAAACUGUGACAGCUCUCUAAGCUACAUGUUACUUAAGAAACUUCAUUCUCCUCACUGCUACCUCUUCCAGUUUUUGCCAACUGCUGCUUCUCCUUAUUUCAGUUCUUCAGUGAUCCCCAACCACUUUAAGCACAGCAGGGCAGUUUCCAAAUUCUUCCAGACUAUUUCCUUCCUCCCUUCAAGGCAAUGGCAGCUUCUGUGACCAAAAAACCUUAUCUAAUAUGGAGGCUUUCCGCUGUUUUGGUUUUGAUUCCAGAUUGGAUUAAAGGUGCUAGAAACAGGACCAUUUGUCCGGCUGAUGCCAAGUGACAGCAUCAGUUUAUGGGCACAUCUGGAAUUUCCUCGCAGCAGUGGCUCAAUAGGGUUAAUUGCACUGACCUCAUUUAUAAAGCACUUUGAGAUCUUAUGAAUGAAUAUAAGUGUUUAAAAAAAAAAAAAAAACAAAAAAACAAAAACAAACCAAUGCAUUAUAGUUGUUAAUAUGUAUUACUCUCAUGGAUAUUUAAGCAAGAAAUUAUUGAAGCACCCAUUUACCACAAAAAGUAGAGCAGCACCGCAGCCACAGGAGUCUGGCAGGCUGGAAAGAGCAUUUAGCCCAGCAUUUGGGGCCGUCCUGACCCACUAAUGGCCUUGGUUGUUAUUAAGGCUCUCGCCAAGGGUAAAACGUGCUUAAGCGUAUUAGCCGCUACUCGGUGAAGGUUGACAGACGUGAGACCCUCAAAAUAAACAGGGAGGCCGAGAUACCUUUAAAUGGCUAACCCGUGAGCUAACAGCAAACGCCGAGCCGCGGGAGCAGAACAGCCGGGCUCUCAUUAGCGCUAACGAGCCGCUUUCCCGGGAAGCGGCUCGGGCACAGCUCCUUUCGAGGGGAGAUGAAGCCCCCCGGUGGCCGCCGGGCGCCUUGCAGCCCCGCACCGCCCCCAGCCGCUCCCGCACCGCUCCCAGCCGCUCCCGCACCGCUCCGAGUCGCUCCCGCACCGCUCCCGAGCCGCUCCCGCACCGCUCCCGCACCGCUCCCGGGACCCCGCGCCUGGGCCGCGCUGACCCGCGGCCCUGCUGGCCACCCAGGCCUCACCCCGGCCCGGCCGGCCCCCGGCCCACACAGCAGCACGCCCCCGGCCCACGCAUCGCCUCGCCGUCUUUCCCGGUCCCCCGAGCGGCCAAGGGAGAGGAAGCGCCUCUCAGCCGCGGGGGUUUCCGUCCUGUCUGCAGCAGGUUGCACAAGGGGAUGUGAAUGUCACCCAUGUUCCCUCUUAGGUAAACAACAAAUAUAAAUCUCAAACAAACACGACGUAGAUUCUCCCUUUCACAGAGGAGGAAAUUGGCGGGUGUCCCAGUCUCAUGAGAGGAAGAGUUUGGUUUUGCAACCAUUUGUCGUGACGCGGGAGUAGUUCAGACACUGAUACCGUACAAGUGUUCUUUCCAAACUUAAAAGCCACACCUUUGGCGUUCUUCACUGGCAGGAUCCAAGUGCACUGAAAAGCUGGUGUGGGCCAAAUGUUUUAUGUUAAAUUGCUCUCUCAAAGCCCUAUCUUCUUCUGUUACUGAGAAGUUUUUACACAAUUCUUGCAUCUACUGGUAUUCCUGCACGUAGGCAUACGGGUAACAACUGAAUAGGCGGUUUGUUUUUGCUGGAAUAAGGAUCUGACCAAAUAACCCAAGCAAAUGGCUGAUCGUGGAGUUUCAGAUACCAAAAUGUAGGGUCUUAGCUCCUAAGUGGGGUUUGUACUUUGGACUAUCGAGUUCAUGAUUUUUUUCUUACUCUGACAGCAGAAGCCCUCAGUUAAAUUAAAGAGCCCAUAGCUGAUUCAUGCAGAGUCUUCAAUGGAUGUGCUUGUUUCACUGGAGCAUCGGCGGUAUGGACAAAUUACCAAGAGCAAUCUGAGCCACUGAAAUAUGCAUAGAAUUUGUUUGGGUUCCUUUCUGCACAGCAAAAAUGUCAGACAUGCUUUUUUACAGCAACUCAUAAUUGGAAUAUAAUUGCUUAAUAUUCCCAUCCAUCUGAAUUACAAGUAACACUUCUUAUUGCAGAAAGGUUAUCGAAAUAUUCACUGUGUGAAUCACAGGUUAGACUUAUAAGAGGGUCUUACACAACAGAACCAACUGUCACCAUCCUGUCUUUAAGUAUAUAUGUCACUGCCUUGUGACAGAUUUAUUCAAGAUCAUUUGUACAAUAAGGUACUCCUAGGUUUUCAUUAGAGCUAGAAGAACUAAGCUGAUAGGAGUUUGCUUUUUUUUUAAAUCAGGCUGGAACUUUUAUUUUCUGAUAGUAGAAGCCAGCGCCUCCUAUGGAUUGCAUUCUCUAUAGAUACGGAGAGUAGCUAGAAAAAUCUUCCAAGGAAAUAUGAAAUUGUGCACAGCUUUUCUAUAUUAGUGUAUCAAUCCAGCUAAAGAGCUACAACUUACACAUACCCUGUUCUGUUCUGAAUCCCACCAGUCUCAUUUCCCUAGGCAAAACUAACACUGGGGAAACCCACAAACUAAGGGUGUACUUGCAACUUCAAAAACAUAAAAGGCACUUGGAGCUACAGCGACAGGACCACAGCACUGGUACACUGGGCCUUGUUUCUGUGGGGAAGGCAGAGAGCAUAAUCCAGGUUAUUGUUCCUCCUCUCUCUUUGGCCCUCUCUUUGUCUUGCACACCACAGGCACAGCCACCAUCAGAGUACAGUACUUAAGCUAACUUUUCAAAGCUAGUUGUCUGCAUGCACUGCUACAUAGACAUCUCUUGGAGACUGCAUUCUGAGCUGUCCCACGUGUGGGUCCUGCAGCAGCUCACAGAGCUCUUCAGGCUCUUCUCAGCACCAGGCAUGUGCAGGACUGUUCUGUGCAUGGCACAGCACACCAGUGCCUCAAAGGCUGAGGUGCUUCAAGGGGAGCUUAACACUUCCCUCCCUAAAGCCUGCUUCUCAGGGAAGGCUGAAAGGGUGCUCUUUUACUGGAUUAUGUGAUGCCAAAGAACCAAGGUACUUAACACUAGUCCCAGAACAUACAGGAAUAUGCUGUACAUAUUGCUUUGACUAGCAACUUGUUAUUUAAAGUUCAGGGCAAAGAUUUAAACCCAGAGAAGGUUUUUUUUUCAUAAUUGCAGGGGGGAGGGGAGGGGGAGGAUGAUGACGUACAAAUGGGCAGGACGUCAGAAAAUAGGAGUAAAAAAAGAAUUACAUUAAAAAACUUCAGUAUCCUAAUCAAGACUCACUGGAGCUUCUUUGAAAGCACUAUCCCAUAUUUCCUGAGAGAGGUUAAAUGCAAGAUGAUCACUGCAGCUCCUGAAUUUAAUACAUCUAUCAGAAUUCACAAUGAGCUGGGCAUGAGAUCAGUCACUUUGUUUUCCAUGGAAAAUUCUCCUGUUUUACAUUAAUAGAAUAACUAAAUUCCCUACUAAAUACAGUGUAUUUAUUGGUUAAUUCUUCUUGGGACUAGCUUUUCUUGACUUUGUUCAAUGUUUUGAAAAAAUUCAAGUUUAGUCUUAUGAUAUUAAGAGCAAGUUUCAAAUCUAUUCCAAAUCUCAUCAAGAUAUCCUCUCCUGCUACAAAAUCUCACCCUGGACUGAACACGAAAAGACAAAAUUAGUCCUUUUCAAGACAGAAUCAUCAAAGAUCAAUGCCCAUCAAAGAGCUUUACUUGGAGGAAUAAAGAAAGAGGCCAAAUUUCAAGAUAACACAGACAGUCAGUGAGACUGGAGUGCUUGAAGCUGCUGGAAUUUUUUUAAGUCAUUCACAAAUACUAUAUCUACCCUUGACAGGUCAUUUCAUUCUAUUUAGCACUUUUUAUUCUCUGUGGUUUAUAAGCUCUUAAGCAAAUGUAAGAGGGAGGAAAAGCUAACGUGUCUGAUAAUACACUAUAUCAGGCUGACAACCUAACUGAAUUUCCCCUGUGGUGCUAGCAAAAUGCUGUUCCAAAAAGUAAUAAUGCAUACAAAAAAAAAAAAAAAAAAAAAGAAAGAGAGAAAAAGGGGGUAAAGGGAUCAUAGAGAUCAUGCCGUCACAUUUAAUUUCAGAGAACAAAACCUGAAGCUGAUUUCUCUUUAGAUCAGUUGUAUACCAGUUGGAACAUGGGUGCCUAGCACUGCGACAGAGUAAUAUGAUCUGAGCUUUAAAUAGCUGCCAAAUAACCAUGUGGUGGCUGGCAGCAUUAAACGUGUUGCAACGAGAAUGAUCUGUUUCAAAGUAAAGCCACAUAACAGAGGAUUAGUCAAUCUGAUGUGGUAUAGAAGAGGAGGGGGGAACGUUUUUCAUUAUCCUUCUGGGUUUCUUUUUGGUUUAAACAUCUUCCAACUCAAAGAUGCACCAGUUUAAGCUCUUUCUCUUAACUGGUUUAAAACCUGAACCAUCUCCAGGUCAUUUCAGAUAACAUCUCCUAAGGUACCCGGGUGCAGGUGGGGAGUAACAGUGUGACGAAUGUGAAGUAACACCACUGAGACUGUUCCCUUGAUUUAACCUAGUACAGAGUGGCUGACUCUCAGUGUGAAAGGCACCUUCCCUGCACAGAGCUGCUCUCCACCUCCACCCCCUCUACCCCACUACCAUCCCCCCAGCUCCCUAGUUUGUACCAAAUGCAUUCUUGCCAGAUUUUAGGAACAGACAAGGAACAGAUCUACAGCAAGUAACAUGGGGUGAUUUGUACUCCAAGCCCUUUCCUCAUCCUCACAGCAAAAAUGUCUAGCCUUGCAGCACUCCAUGAGGCCCUUCUGGGCUCUUUGGGACACAGGAGAAAAUCAGGUGCAGUUUGGAGAUGUCUAACAGGAAUUGCUGCCAGCCCUCCAUUCUUUCUUGUCAAAUGGCUCUUCUGACCACUAUUGUAAAUAUGUCUCCUGAGUAGAUAAGGCACAUAAGGACUGGAAAGACAGACCAGUUUUGGUCUUAAACUGGUAAUGUGAUUGAGACACACAGAGGGAAAAGCAGUGCUGUAAGUACUUGCGAUUCUUCAUCCUUUCUGUCACUUUUGAUUACAGAUGACUGACUUCUGUUUUCAAUUUCAGUGUCUCCCCCAGCUUCAGCUGCAUCAGUUCAGACUUACUGUAAGUUAACAGCAGAAUUUCAUGUGAACAUACUUUAUCUAGCCUUCACUGCCUGGGAAUCACACUGCCAAAAGGACAAAUAAGAACAGGAGAGCCAGAGGAGAGCCAGCUGCUGCAUCAGAAGGUAAAUAGCUCAUUUAAGAUAUUCAAUAUGACUUCUUAAAAGAUAAUAAGCACAACAUACUUCACAGCCAGGAUUUUGCAGGCAUGAAGACAGCUAUAGACACUACCUACAACUGUUUUACUAGCAGUUUACUAGCACACUACAGAGUACAGUCUCAGCGGCAGCUUUAUUUCUCCCUGCAGAGAAAUAAAGCAGGCUUUUUUUUUUUUUUUUUUGCAUUUCCUCAGAGGAGAACACUGUUGUACCUCAUUAAUGUAAAUGCUAAUAAACAGCCACAAAUUUCAUGAAGGUCAGCUCCAGUGAAACCUACAGCAGCUAUCCAAAUGAGUAAAAAGAAUAAAUGGGCAAAAUCCUUUUCUGACUGGUCUUGUCUGCAGCUGCCUUUGCCACAUUGUGUUGGUGUAUCCCCCAGGGAUCAACAACAGCUGCACAGAGGUCUGGCAGAUGGCAUCGACAGAGGGACACUUACCUGUCUUUUUCUCCCUCCUAUCUCACUUUCUUCUCCUUAUUUUCACACUGUCUCCUUUGUGGGCAGUCAUAGUCCUUCCCAUGUUUGCACUGGACAAAUGGAUGAUUUACAGAUUGAAAGCAAUCAGAAAAUACUUCUUAUUUACUCUUCUUCCUCACUCUUCCAAAUACAUUUGUUAAAAUAUUAACCUCUUUUCUUCCAAUAUGAUCACAGGCUAUUAAGCCAGCUAGGAAAUUAUUAAGGAAAAAAAACAAAAAAAACCCAACCAAACUCCCAAACUCCUAUGGAUUUGUGAGGAACACAGUUCUUUGACCAAUUUCACAGAAUAUUUUGAUUAGCGUAUUUAAUCCUCUUUACAAUAUUUUAUUCAGCUCUCAUGAAAAUCCCUGCAUCCCUGCCAAGGAUUUUCUAGACAAAAGCAUAUCUGGAAGAAUGCCACAAAGCAAGUUGCCUUAGCUGGCCUGUCUUCCUCAAGUUCUUACAAACCCAUUCCCCUGCACAUAGCUCUUUAAUGAAAUCAGAAGAACAAGAGUUAAACUGUGCUUUUAGGCAAUAAUCAUCCAGAAAUGCCUCCCCACCACCCUUAACUCCAUUCCUUGGUCUGCAGCAACUACUUAUUACAUAUCACGUGCUUACCUACAUAUAUUUUUUGGAGGGAGCAAACAAACCCCACCAUUUCAGAAAGAACCUGACUUUCAUUCUGCCACUAAGAGGGAAUCCAAUUAAAGCAAAUUGAUAGAGCUACGGACUGCUGCCAACAUAUGAGUCUGCGUGAAAAAUUUAUGAGGACUCAAGAAAUUUCUGCUGGUGUUGGAAAGGCUUCCAGACAUUUUCAAGGGAAUCCUCAGAAACACCUUGGAUCUUGAUGGCCAUUACAUCCACAGUCUGACCCAAAGGGUUGCCUCCAGGAGAGGAUGUCUUGCACACAAAAGUGUAACUAAUUUUGCUGCAUAAUGGAGAGAGUUCUGAAGAUGCACAUGGGCUGAAUUAAGGGCACCACAGGAGCCUUUGGCUCAAUCCUUGCAGAGUUUAUUAGUUGCUGCUGCACACAUGGUUGGGUUUGCUGGAAGAGGUCCAGGUCUGAGGCACCUCUCAAUUCCUCCAGCCUCCAAAAGCUGCAAGAAAGUGGCUCAAGCAUAUUGUCCCCUUAAGCUCUUGUGGAGAAGGACUCACCCCUGCAGAGAAGCAAACAGGGUUUGGGAUGGGGUACCUAGUCAAUAACUCUUGAUUAUUGAGUUUACCUUCACAAUUAGCAGUGAGUGUCCUAGACUAUAAAGAGGGCAAAAACCAACAGAAUGUAUUAUUUGAGAAACAGUAUGUGAUUGUGUAAUUAAGGGCAGGAAUAUAAUACCAUAUGCACAACGAGCAGGGUUAAUUUCAGCAUUUCCUGACUAACCAACAGCAUUAUGGUGUAACCCUAAUGUUCUCCGGAUGGCUAUCAUUUAUGUGGGGUUCAUACACAUAUGCUUAUGAAUACUUGGUUAAAAUUCACCCAUCAUACUCUCUGACACAGUAAUUAAAAACACCAUGUUAUUUGCCAAUAAAAAUAUUUUUGUGAAUUGGUAAUUAUUCUAAACCUCACAGUCCCAGCUUCCCUACCUCCUACUCUUGUUGUCUUCCUGUUCUAUAAUGUAUAACACUAAUCUUGAUGAGGGAAAAAUAAAUAAGUAGCAGGAAAGGCUGGAAAGCUUCCAAUCACAAAACCUCCCAAAAUGGAAUAACAUCCAAUCUGGCUCACCACAUCUUCUCUGUGGGCAUUCCUUUCCUGCCUUUUAGCAAUGCUUUCAGUAUUCAUACCAGCUGUGGAAUUAAGCAUUAUGAACAAGAACAAACCGACAUGCAGCCUUAACUUUUCCCCAUCAGCCCCAAACUAUUCUGCAUUGAGUUACAAAGUGAAAACCAGCACACUCUCAGAUGGAUUUAAUUUCUAUUUGGGCCCAAUGCCAGACAAAGUUUCCCCAUUGUUAAAACUCAACCCCAUCUUUUCCGUACCACGCAUAUAGUCUCAUCUUUACCCCAUCUUCCACACAGAUGUGCAUGCACACACACACAGAACCAGUCACUCCUACAAUGCAGUACCAAAUCCAUCUCCCUGGCAGUCUUAGCUAGGCUCAUUGCUUUCCCUAGCAAGACUAGUAGGCAAGUUGGAUUUGGUCUAUAAUGCAAAUUUUUAACGUGUGGGAAAAUGAAGGCUGCACAAGACACACAUUUUCAUGUCCUAAAUAUUGUCUUGAUAGUAAAUCUUUUUUAAUAAAAAAUUAAUUUUACACAACCAUGAAAAUAUUGUUUAGAGGAGCCAACUCUCUCUGUUCCACUGAAAAAUAAAAGGGUUAAAAUUUAAUUAAAAUAUUAAUGCUAUAACUCAAAAUGCAAUUUUGGCAUAACUUCAGAUAAUGAUUCUACUAUGGCAUUUUGGCUUACAGAAUCAUGCAACACAUGGAUUUCAGAAUACAAAGUAUACAGCUUUCAAAUGCAUACAGAGAAGAGAAAUGGGUAAUAGAACAGUUAAGCUUUUACACAUUCAUGGCAAUUGUCUUCUCUCCAGUCCUCUUCCUAUGGAUGCUGCAUGAACAACUGCACUCUAUUUUUAUAAAGUGCAGACAUGUUUGCUGCCAUUAAAGCUAAGGCAAGUAGUGGAAAACAGGAGAGGAGGUAGAUUGAAUUACUGUGUUUGAAUGUUUGCCUUCUCCUCUACCUUGUGCCAUUCUCUACAAACAGAAGAACAGUGUAAAUGCUAAAAGAUAAAUGUAUAAAAUGUUGAUUCGAGACAAUUCAUAUUCAUGAUUUACUUGCAGAAAAAAAUUUUCUUCUGUUUGUUAGCCUACAAAAAUGCUGCUAAUAGUACAAUGUGAAGAACCACGUGUACUUUCUAAAGAAUUAAAAACAACUAGUUGGGACUAAAGGUCGUUUCUUCCUGUACUGAGUUUUGUGUCCCUUACCCUUGAAAAAGUAAUAGAAGAACUUCAUGAAGGCUGCCUGCACAUUUAAGAUUGCUAUAAUAGUAAUAAUAUACAAAAUUGUGUUCCAGUAUACACAUGUCACAAAGUUUCACAAGUAUUGCUGUAUUCUCUUCAGCAGCGUCUGACUAGUCUGAGUGUAAAUA
Molecule: long non-coding RNA, 18006 nt
Organism: Passer montanus (Eurasian tree sparrow)
Lineage: Eukaryota; Metazoa; Chordata; Aves; Passeriformes; Passeridae
Exons: 2
Source: RefSeq, a predicted model, not a curated record